Long non-coding RNA from Humulus lupulus (European hop), 1814 nucleotides. RefSeq lists it as uncharacterized. The transcript is spliced from 6 exons. Lineage: Eukaryota; Viridiplantae; Streptophyta; Magnoliopsida; Rosales; Cannabaceae. The record is from RefSeq and is a predicted model, not a curated record.
AGUGUUGCAUCAAACACCUAUGGAAAAGCUACAAAUGAGGAUGUGAUGUAAGCCAUUGCCGAGGUGAAGGACGAGGUCAGCCGUGUCGACAUAAAGGUCAUGCACGCUCAGGAGAUUUUUAUGAAGGAAAUGAGUUUUUUUAGGAAGUGUGUUACAAAGUACUUUGGGAGAGAAGUUGUGGAGGAAGGAGUUGGAGAGAAGGAAGCUUCCAAUGAGAAGAAGGAAGUUUAUAAAGUGUCGCCUGUUCAACAGACUUUAUCUUUUAAAGGAGAGUCGUCUAAACCUGUUGAUUUGGAUAGUGAGAAUCGUGUGUUGUUUGGAGUGAAGGGGGUGUCGGGAGCUGUUAGGGAAGUUUUUGGUGAUCUUGGUGGAGAUAUAUUAGAUAGUGUACCAUCAUUUGAUGUUUCUGAUGAAAUAAUGGAGGAGGAAAAUAUGGAUGAGGGGAAAGUGGAAAAGGGUAUAGUGGCAGAGGAUGAUUUUUUUGAUGUUGUGAGUUUUUGGCAAAAAGAGAAACAAGCCAUAAUUAUUAAUGAAGAAAAAGUGGAAGAGAUGGAGGAGGUUGUGAAAGAUGAUUUUGAUUUGGAGUCUUUUGAGACGUUUAAGGAGUCAGGAGGAACUGUGGUUGGCCCAUUCACUAUGAAGAAUAGAAUGACCGAUUAGAUAGUCAGGUUUUUCCGCUUCAUAUUUUCAAGAAUCUUGGACCAGAGCUAUAUGUUAGUGAAGCUUGGGAAAGUUGAGGUGAGAAGAUAUGUGAUGGGGAGCUUGUGGCCAGAGGGCUAGGUCACUGGAAGUGUUAUUGAUUGUUAUGCAUAAAUCCUGAACUUUGAAGAAAGGAAGAAGGAAGGUCCAAGUCGAGUAUGGUUCAUGCCAACCCGUGUUUUGAAAGAGCAGAUAUGCGCCUCGAUGAGUGUGAAAAGGAUGGUGAGGGAACAAGAAUAGUUUAAGCAGUACUACGAUGAAGAUUUUAAGGCAUAGGACAAGGUGGCCACCAUUGGUUCCUAGCCCACAUCAAUAUACAAACUGUGACUGUAAAUUAACCGUGACUCUUUAUCAAGUGUGAUGCACAAGGCCUCUUGACGUCGGGUUUGCACUAAAAUGCUUAAGACUCUGGACCAAUUAUUUGCUCUGUCCAAACCCAAAAAUAUGAAAUUUGAGAAUUUCUGUAUUGCUACAAGGAAGGGGAACUUGCCCCAACAACAUAAUCAGUUUGAUUGUGGGUUGUUGUUAGGGUCAUUUUAGGUUUGUUUUAGAGAUCGUUUUAGGUUGUGUUUUUAGUUAUUUAGGAUUGUUUAGUGCAUAUUUAUGCUUGUUUUCUUCUUGUUUCAGGUUUUAAUGGUCAAUUGCAUAAUAUGGAGUGAAAUGAGAAGAAACAUGUUAAAUAUGAUAAAUAAGAUGGAUUUCGUGUUGAUUGUGGAGUUUCAAGACAUUAUGUGUGGAAAAUACUACAUUGAAGAUGCUCAACACAUGUCGUUUAUGCUCUAUAAUGCAAGUCUGAGACUUCAAGCCACAUUUUGACCAUGAUUUAUUCACUUUCUGGAAAUACUUCUAUAAAUAGAAGUUGUAUAUAUUUCUCUUAUCUUUCCAUAUAUUUUUGAAUCAUUCAAUUCGGAGUUAUAUCGAAUGAGUUAUGAUCAAAAUACGAUGAGCUGAUGCUGCAGGCUGUUCGAAACGAGUUUCGUUCCAUUCUGACUUUAGCGCUACAGCGCCAUAAUAAGAGCGCUACAGCGCUAGUGCACCAGAUUUUGAGGCAUUUUGCCACUGUUAAUAGCACUACAGCGCUCCAGAAGUAGCGCUAGUGACGCGAUUUUCACAUU